RNAcentral lists this ribosomal RNA (1152 nucleotides) under uncultured organism. RNAcentral's name for it is "bacterial SSU rRNA". It matches the Rfam family "Bacterial small subunit ribosomal RNA", at positions 185 to 1343 of the family's 1533-position model. The record is from RNAcentral.
UUGGCAUCAUUUUAUAGUUAAAGCUCCGGCGGUUAAAGAUGGGCAUGCGUAACAUUAGCUAGUUGGUGAGGUAACUGCUCACCAAGGCUACGAUGUUUAGGGGGUCUGAGAGGAUGGUCCCCCACACUGGUACUGAGACACGGACCAGACUCCUACGGGAGGCAGCAGUGAGGAAUAUUGGUCAAUGGGCGAAAGCCUGAACCAGCCAUGCCGCGUGAAGGAUGACGGCCCUAUGGGUUGUAAACUUCUUUUAUACGGGAAGAAACCGUCCUACGUGUAGGGCGUUGACGGUACCGUACGAAUAAGCAUCGGCUAACUCCGUGCCAGCAGCCGCGGUAAUACGGAGGAUGCAAGCGUUAUCCGGAUUUAUUGGGUUUAAAGGGUGCGUAGGCGGAAAUUUAAGUCAGUGAUGAAAUCCUGCGGCUCAACCGUAGAACUGUUAUUGAUACUGAAUUUCUUGAAUACAGUUGAGGUAGGCGGAAUGAGUAAUGUAGCGGUGAAAUGCUUAGAUAUUACUCAGAACACCGAUUGCGAAGGCAGCUUACUAAACUGAUAUUGACGCUGAGGCACGAAAGCGUGGGGAGCGAACAGGAUUAGAUACCCUGGUAGUCCACGCCGUAAACGAUGAUCACUCGUUGUUGGCAAUACACCGUCAGCGACUGAGCGAAAGCAUUAAGUGAUCCACCCGGGGAGUACGAUCGCAAGAUUGAAGCUCAAAGGAAUUGACGGGGGCCCGCACAAGCGGAGGAACAUGUGGUUUAAUUCGAUGAUACGCGAGGAACCUUACCUGGGCUUAAAUGUAGAGCGACGGACCGGGAAACUGGUCUUUCUUCGGACGAUCUACAAGGUGCUGCAUGGCUGUCGUCAGCUCGUGCCGUGAGGUGUCGGGUUAAGUCCCAUAACGAGCGCAACCCUCAUCAUUAGUUGCCAGCGGGUAAUGCCGGGGACUCUAAUGAAACUGCCGGUGUAAACCGAGAGGAAGGUGGGGAUGACGUCAAGUCAGCACGGCCCUUAUGUCCAGGGCUACACACGUGUUACAAUGGUCAGUACAAAGGGCAGCUACCAUGCGAAUGGAUGCUAAUCUCGAAAACUGGUCUCAGUUCGGAUCGGAGUCUGCAACUCGACUUCGUGAAGUUGGAUUCGCUAGUAAUC